GACGAACGCUGGCGGCGUGCCUAACACAUGCAAGUCGAACGGAAAGGCCCUGCUUUUGUGGGGUGCUCGAUUGGCGAACGGGUGAGUAACACGUGAGUAACCUGCCCUUGACUUUGGGAUAACUUCAGGAAACUGCGGCGAAUACCGGAUAGGAUCUCCUGCUGCAUGGUGUUGGUUGGUAAGUUUCGGCGGUUGGGGAUGGACUCGCGGCUUAUCAGCUGGUUGGUGGGGUAGUUGCUGACCAAGGCUUUGACGGGUAGCCGGCCUGAGAGGGUUACCGGCGACAUUGCGCCUGAGAUACGGCCCAGACUCCUACGGGAGGCAGCAGUGGGGAAUAUUACACAAUGGCGGGAAGCCUGAUGCAGCAACGCCGCGUGCGGGAUAACGGCUUUCGGGUUGUAAACCGAUUUGGCCUGUGACGAAGCGUGAGUGACGGUAAUGGGUAAAGAAGCCCCGGCUAACUACGUG
RNAcentral lists this ribosomal RNA (468 nucleotides) under uncultured bacterium. RNAcentral's name for it is "partial 16S ribosomal RNA". It matches the Rfam family "Bacterial small subunit ribosomal RNA", at positions 28 to 507 of the family's 1533-position model. The record is from RNAcentral.